RNAcentral lists this transfer RNA (73 nucleotides) under Malus domestica (apple). RNAcentral's name for it is "tRNA MD04G0176400". It matches the Rfam family "tRNA". Rfam says of the family: Transfer RNA (tRNA) molecules are approximately 80 nucleotides in length. Their secondary structure includes four short double-helical elements and three loops (D, anti-codon, and T loops). Further hydrogen bonds mediate the characteristic L-shaped molecular structure. tRNAs have two regions of fundamental functional importance: the anti-codon, which is responsible for specific mRNA codon recognition, and the 3' end, to which the tRNAs corresponding amino acid is attached (by aminoacyl-tRNA synthetases). tRNAs cope with the degeneracy of the genetic code in two manners: having more than one tRNA (with a specific anti-codon) for a particular amino acid; and 'wobble' base-pairing, i.e. permitting non-standard base-pairing at the 3rd anti-codon position. Lineage: Eukaryota; Viridiplantae; Streptophyta; Magnoliopsida; Rosales; Rosaceae. The record is from Rfam by way of RNAcentral.
ACCUACUUAACUCAAUGAUUAGAGUAUUGCUUUCAUAUCGCGGGAGUCAUUGGUUCAAAUCCAAUAGUAGGUA